AUGCGAUACUUGGUGUGAAUUGCAGGAUCCCGUGAACCAUCGAGUCUUUGAACGCAAGUUGCGCCCGAAGCCAUUAGGCCGAGGGCACGUCUGCCUGGGCGUCACGC
This 107-nucleotide ribosomal RNA is filed under the name Thunbergia grandiflora. Its description in RNAcentral is "partial 5.8S ribosomal RNA". It matches the Rfam family "5.8S ribosomal RNA", at positions 53 to 154 of the family's 154-position model. Rfam says of the family: 5.8S ribosomal RNA (5.8S rRNA) is a component of the large subunit of the eukaryotic ribosome. Lineage: Eukaryota; Viridiplantae; Streptophyta; Magnoliopsida; Lamiales; Acanthaceae. The record is from RNAcentral.